UAAGCGGAAGAAGAUGGAUGGGUUGUGGUGGCAGUAGACCACACGGCUCAUCUCACACUUCCCCGUCCUCUGCCAAGUCCUCUAAUGCUUUUUGUGGGAGCCUAAGACAUUUCUAAGCCAGGUGGGAAAUAUAAUCCCUCUAGUGUGUUCUGGAUCUUCCCCAGGACCUCCUCUCAGUUGGAGGUGCCUGGAAGAUCUCUUUAGGGAGACAGCCAGGGGGCAUUCUCACCAGAUACCCGAACCACCUCACUUGGCUCCUUUCAAUGCAAAGAAUCAGCGGCUCUUCUCUGAGUCCCUCCCAGAUACUAGAGCUUCUCACUCUGCCCAGGAGUGUAAGCCCAGAUACCUAAUGGAAGAAUCUAAUUUCCACCGCUUGUAUCUGCAUUCUUUCACAACCUUUUUCUUU
Thalassophryne amazonica is the source of this 406-nucleotide long non-coding RNA. RefSeq lists it as uncharacterized. The record is from RefSeq and is a predicted model, not a curated record. NCBI's taxonomy places the organism in Eukaryota, Metazoa, Chordata, Actinopteri, Batrachoidiformes, Batrachoididae. The transcript has 3 exons.